RNAcentral lists this ribosomal RNA (426 nucleotides) under Tychonema bourrellyi. RNAcentral describes it as "bacterial SSU rRNA". It matches the Rfam family "Bacterial small subunit ribosomal RNA", at positions 359 to 801 of the family's 1533-position model. Lineage: Bacteria; Bacillati; Cyanobacteriota; Cyanophyceae; Oscillatoriales; Microcoleaceae. The record is from RNAcentral.
GAAUUUUCCGCAAUGGGCGAAAGCCUGACGGAGCAAGACCGCGUGGGGGAAGAAGGCUCUUGGGUUGUAAACUCCUUUUCUCUGGGAAGAACAAAAUGACGGUACCAGAGGAAUCAGCAUCGGCUAACUCCGUGCCAGCAGCCGCGGUAAGACGGAGGAUGCAAGCGUUAUCCGGAAUGAUUGGGCGUAAAGCGUCCGCAGGUGGCAGUUCAAGUCUGCUGUCAAAGACCGGGGCUCAACCUCGGAAAGGCAGUGGAAACUGAACAGCUAGAGUAUGGUAGGGGCAAAGGGAAUUCCUGGUGUAGCGGUGAAAUGCGUAGAGAUCAGGAAGAACAUCGGUGGCGAAGGCGCUUUGCUGGACCAUAACUGACACUCAGGGACGAAAGCUAGGGGAGCGAAUGGGAUUAGAUACCCCAGUAGUCAACA